CGAGUACGAAAGACAAUCGCGAGCGUAAGCUCGAGGAAAGUCCGAGCUCCGCAGGGCAGAGUGCCGGAUAACAUCCGGCGAGGGUGACCUCAGAGAUAGUGCCACAGAAAUGUAGACCGCCGGCAACGGUAAGGGUGGAACGGUAUGGUAAGAGCAUACCGGCGGCGGGGUAACCCGUCGGCCAGGUAAACCUCACUCGGAGCAAGACCGAAUAGAAAAGGGAUGAAGUUGCCCGCUGACCUUUUGGGUGUGUCGCUUGAACAGUCGAGUAAUCGGCUGUCUAGAAAGAUGAUUGUCACGUGUAAACGUACAGAACUCGGCUUAUUGACUACUCGUAAU
Molecule: non-coding RNA, 339 nt
Organism: Clostridiales bacterium
Lineage: Bacteria; Bacillati; Bacillota; Clostridia; Eubacteriales
Source: Rfam